UACGUAGGGGGCAAGCGUUAUCCGGAUUUACUGGGUGUAAAGGGGGCGCAGACGGCAGCGCAAGCCAGGAGUGAAAGCCCGGGGCCCAACCCCGGGACUGCUCUUGGAACUGCGCGGCUGGAGUGCAGGAGGGGCAGGCGGAAUUCCUGGUGUAACGGUGAAAUGCGUAGAUAUUAGGAGGAACACCAGUGGCGAAGGCGGCUUACUGGACUGUAACUGACGUUGAGGCUCGAAAGCGUGGGGAGCAAACAGG
Molecule: ribosomal RNA, 253 nt
Filed under: uncultured bacterium
Lineage: Bacteria
Description: partial 16S ribosomal RNA
Rfam family: Bacterial small subunit ribosomal RNA
Source: RNAcentral